Molecule: RNA transcript, 2484 nt
Organism: Lycium barbarum (goji berry)
Lineage: Eukaryota; Viridiplantae; Streptophyta; Magnoliopsida; Solanales; Solanaceae
Gene name: probable galacturonosyltransferase-like 1
Exons: 3
Source: RefSeq, a predicted model, not a curated record
UGGCAAAGAAAGUUCUGAUACACUAUAUAUCAGGAAAUUUAUGUGCCAUGUUUGUUAAUUUGUCUCCUGGCUCCAUUAUGACAAAACUUGGGAGAUCCAGGGACACCAGCCUGCUUUCCCUAUUGUUGAUCAUUUUCCCCUUAUUGACACAAAAUGUUAGUAUUAUUGGUACCGCUUCGACUAAUUCCAAUCUCCAUUUUAAAGAAGCGCCACAGUUCUACAACUCCCAUAGUUGUUCUACCAUUAGUUCUUCAGAAAAUACAGUACAUGUCGCUAUGACCCUUGAUAUACCUUAUCUUCGGGGUUCAAUGGCUGCUAUUCUUUCUGUAUUACAACAUUCUUCUUGCCCCGAAAAUGUAAUUUUCCAUUUCAUCGCCUCUUCCUCUGCUGAAACCGCACACUUGAACCUUACUAUUACAAAAUCAUUCCCUUAUCUUCAUUUCACAAUUUAUCCAAUCCAAGAUAUUGCAGCCGUGGCAGGGCUAAUUUCGACCUCUAUUCGUUCUGCUUUAGAUUGUCCUUUAAAUUACGCACGUAAUUAUCUUGCUGAUCUGCUUCCUAAAUACCUUAACAAGGUUGUUUAUCUCGAUUCGGACCUUGUUCUAGUAGACGACAUUGCUAAAUUAGCAUCAACGCCUCUAACAGAGGAUUCUGUUUUAGCAGCACCUGAAUAUUGCAACGCAAAUUUCACUACUUAUUUCACUCCCACCUUUUGGUCUAAUCCUUCUCUUUCUUUAAUUUUUGCGAACCGAAUUCGAAAGCCUUGUUAUUUUAACACUGGUGUUAUGGUUAUUGAUCUUGUGAGAUGGAGAGCUGGUGAUUAUACAACUAAGAUUGUAGAGUGGAUGGAGUUGCAAAAGAGAAUGAGGAUUUAUGAAUUGGGUUCUUUACCGCCUUUUCUGCUUGUUUUUGCUGGAAAUAUAGCUCCAGUCGAUCAUAGUUGGAACCAACAUGGUCUUGGUGGAGAUAAUUUUCGUGGACUUUGCAGGGACUUGCACCCUGGUCCGGUUAGCCUGUUGCAUUGGAGUGGCAAGGGAAAACCUUGGGCUCGACUCGACGCGAACCACCCUUGUCCGUUAGAUGCCCUCUGGUCACCUUAUGAUCUACUGCAAUCACAUUAUACUCUUGAGUCUUAAGGUGUUUUCGCAAUUGUAGUAAAAGAGAUCGAGAGUAGAGAUCUGUGCAGUAUUUGUUUCUAUUCACGGGGGGCCCCGGAAGGGAUAAGUUAAGGAUACGAUGCUUUUCUGGACCAAGAGGCCCAUAAGGUUCACGGAUCAUUUGCAAGGCCAUAAUUUAACCUGCCUCAGUUUGACGGUCAACAGAUAUUUUUGUGCCAUACCCCCUGCCAGAUAUUUCUUUUUCAUUUUGUUUAUUUAUUACAUUGAGAAAUGGAAGGAUAGGAAUUAAAUCUCAUACUUAUUGUGACGGUACUUUCACAAAUGUCACUCUACCAAAUUAAAGAUCCAGGGAAGUUAUUGUAAUGAUUUUUAUCUCGAGUCAAGAAGUUAUUGUACAAGCUCAUAUGGGUAAGUUAUGAUAAGGUCAUCCAUUGGUAAAAGUUUAAUGUGCCCCAAUAUUUAUACUAAACCAUACUUAUUUAUUUUGUUCAAGUCAUAGAUUAAGGUGAAUAUGUGCACUAAUUAACUACAUUUUAUGAUAACAUAAGUCAUUUAUGGGGUUGAAUAUAAACACUGGGAGCAGUUGGUUAUAACUUACAAACAGUUUUAGAACCCCAAGCUUUUGCUUAUGCUUUUAAACUUUUUUGACAGAAAUAACACACAUAGUCCUCAGCUUUAACCAGUAACACAUGUUUCAACUGGAUAAAUUUCUCUUCCAUAAGUUUAGUGAUAUAAAUAUGUUGGGAGUAUACUAAUUGACCAUUCUAGUAUUAACUAGUACUUCUUGAUUUUUCCUCCUCCAGUGCAGAGGUACUGUCUUCUUUUCCCUUCAAUUUGAUGCAUGCAUUUACCUUUCAUGCUAUUCAGUUACGUUAAAUUAGAUCCGUAUGCAAUAAUUGAUAAACAAAACAAAACAAAACAAUAACAAAAAACCGCUAUUUAACUUCUCACCAUAUUUUUGAGUUCCCCAUUCAUAUAAUCUGUUUACCUUUUAAGUUGAGACUAAAAAUUAGAUUCAUGACGACAAAAUCUUGCGGCAAAUAUGUUCCUUUAUAGAUUGAGAUACAGCUCUGUGAUGUAAAGAUCUAAAAAGCAUGUAAUAUAUGUCCCUUUAUAGAUUGAGAUACAGCUCUGUGAUGUAAAGAUCUAAAAAGCAUGUAAUAUUUCAAACUAUGAGAGACGUAUCUGUGCUAUAAGAUAUGCCAGAGCUAUAUCAUACUUGAGAUGAGAAACUAAAGAUCUAAUUUUCGACCAGCUACCUCUCCAAAAUUGUUCUACACCUUCAGAAUAAGAUUCUGAUAAGGAAAUUCAUCACUAAUUAGAAGACACAAGUAAAAUAAUUAUAAAGGGCAAAAAAAAAAAAAAA